UAGGGAAUCUUCCGCAAUGGGCGAAAGCCUGACGGAGCAACGCCGCGUGAGUGAUGAAGGUCUUCGGAUCGUAAAACUCUGUUAUUAGGGAAGAACAAAUGUGUAAGUAACUAUGCACGUCUUGACGGUACCUAAUCAGAAAGCCACGGCUAACUACGUGCCAGCAGCCGCGGUAAUACGUAGGUGGCAAGCGUUAUCCGGAAUUAUUGGGGGUAAAGUGCGCGUAGGCGGUUUUUUAAGUCUGAUGUGAAAGCCAACGGCUCAACCGUGGAGGGUCAUUGGAAACUGGAAGACUUGAGUGCAGUAGAGGAAAGUGGAAUUCCAUGUGUAGCGGUGAAAUGCGCAGAGAUAUGGAGGAACACCAGUGGCGAAGGCGACUUUCUGGUCUGUAACUGACGCUGAUGUGCGAAAGCGUGGGGAUCAAACAGG
This 429-nucleotide ribosomal RNA is filed under the name Actinomycetes bacterium. RNAcentral's name for it is "Actinobacteria bacterium partial 16S ribosomal RNA". It matches the Rfam family "Bacterial small subunit ribosomal RNA", at positions 355 to 776 of the family's 1533-position model. The record is from RNAcentral. Lineage: Bacteria; Bacillati; Actinomycetota; Actinomycetes.